RNAcentral lists this long non-coding RNA (2054 nucleotides) under Setaria italica (foxtail millet). RNAcentral describes it as "long non-coding RNA (SITA_LNC005153)". The record is from RNAcentral. Lineage: Eukaryota; Viridiplantae; Streptophyta; Magnoliopsida; Poales; Poaceae.
CUAUGGGUUUUGAUCCAAUCCUAUGCGCCAGUUUUCAUGGGGUUUUCUCCGGUUCUACUGUUGACGUAUGAAAUUAUGAGGUAGAAGAUUUGAGUGCUUUAUUAAUAGGUAAAUAUUUCUUCGGCCACCAUAUGCAUAAUGCAUCGAUCCGUUGGAGUAGUUGUUUGCAUGGUGUCCAGCUCGACUGCACCUUUCAUGCAUUUUUUUCCUUGGAUUAGUUGUUUGUAGCGUGAGAAAAAUGAACACUCACAUCUAACGUCUCGUCUAAUCACAUAGCUAUCACAAGACUAUUCAUCUUUAUUAUUCAUUUUUAUCACGCACAUUGUACACUAUUGAAUAGUCAUUACAAGAUCAUGUAUGUGGAUAGCUCCGAACCUCCUCUAGUAGGAUGUAUGGAAAGAAUGGAGUGGAAAAGUUUGGAGGCCGCUAGCUUUUUUCUGAUUUUCAACCGAGCGCCGGUUCAAGGUGGAGGCCGGUGUUUUUUCUUCCUGGGCGCUUGUUCAAGCGGGACGAGGGUGGGUUUACUAUGGGUUUUGAUCCUAUCCCCUACGCUAGUUUUCACGAAGUUUUCUCCGGUUCUACUGUUGACGUAUGAAAUUAUGAGGUAGAAGAUUUGUUUGCUUUAUUAAUAGGUAAAUAUUUCUUCAGCCACCAUAUGCAUAAUGCAUCGAUCCGUUGGAGUAGUUGUUUGCUUGGUGUCAAGCUCAACUGCACCUUUCAUGCAUUUUUUUCCUUGGAUUACCUGUUUGUAGCCUGAGAAAAAUGAACAAUCACAUCUAACGUCUCGUCUAAUCACAUAACUAUCACAAGACUGCUAAUCAUUAUUAUUCAUUUUUUAUCACGCACAUUGUACACUAUUGAAUAGUCGUGAUAAAUCGUGGAUACAAAUAGCUCCGAACCACCUCAUGUUGGAUGUAUGGAAAGAAUGGAGUGGAAAAGUUUGGAGGCCGCCGGCUUUUGUCUGAUUUUCAACCGAGCGCCGGUUCAAGGUGGAGGCUGGUGUUUUUUCUACCUGGGCGCCUGUUCAAGCGGGAGGAGGGUGGGUUUACUAUGUGUUUUGAUCCUAUCCUAUGCGUUAGUUUUCUAGGGGUUUUCUCCGAUUCCACUGCUGACGUAUGAAAUUAUGAGGUAGAAGAUUUGAGUGCUUUAUUAAUAUGUUAAUAUUUCUUCGCCCACCAUAUGCAUAAUGCUUCGAACCGUUAGAGUAGUUGUAUGCAUGGUGUCCAGCUCGACUGCACCUUUCAUGCAUUUUUUUCCUUGGAUUAGUUGUUUGUAGCGUGAAAAAAAUGAACAAUCACAUCUAACUACUCGUCUAAUCACAUAGCUAUCACAAGACUAUUGAUCUUUAUUAUUCAUUUUUAUCACCCACAUUGUACACUAUUGAAUAGUCGUGAUAAAUCGUGGAUACAAAUAGCUCCGAACCACCUCAUGUUGGAUGUAUGGAAAGAAUGGAGUGGAAAAGUUUGGAGGCCGCCGGCUUUUUUGUGAUUUUCAACCGAGCGCCGGCUCAAGGUGGAGGCCGGUGUUUUUUCUUCCUGGUUGCCUGUUCAAGCAGGAGGAGGGUGGGUUUACUAUGGGUUUGAUCCUAUCCUAUGCGCCAGUUUUCACAGGGUUUUCUCCGGUUCUACUGUUGACGUAUGAAAUUACGAGGUAGAAGAUUUGAUUGCUUUAUUAAUAGGUAAAUAUUUUUUCGGCCGCCAUAUGCAUAAUGCAUCGAUCCGUUGGAGUAGUUGUUUGCAUGGUGUCCAGCUCAACUGCACCUUUCACGCAUUUAUUUCCCUGGAUUAGUUGUUUGUAGCGUGAGAAAAAUGAACACUCACAUUUAACGUCUCGUCUAAUCACAUAACUAUCACAAGACUAUUGACCUUUAUUAUUCAUUUUUAUCACGCACAUUGUACACUGUUGAAUGGUCAUGACAAGAUCAUGGAUGUGGAUAGCUCCGAACCUCCUCAUGUAGGAUCUAUGGAAAGAAUGGAGUGGAAAAGUUUUGAGGCCGCUGGCUUUUUUCUGAUUUUCAACCAAGCGCCGGUUCAAGGUGGAAGCCGGUGUUUUUU